CAAUUUAAACAACGAAGAGUUUGAUCCUGGCUCAGGAUGAACGCUAGCGACAGGCUUAACACAUGCAAGUCGAGGGGCAGCACAGGUAGCAAUACCGGGUGGCGACCGGCGCACGGGUGAGUAACGCGUAUGCAACUUACCUAUCAGAGGGGGAUAACCCGGCGAAAGUCGGACUAAUACCGCAUGAAGCAGGGGCCCCGCAUGGGGAUAUUUGCUAAAGAUUCAUCGCUGAUAGAUAGGCAUGCGUUCCAUUAGGCAGUUGGCGGGGUAACGGCCCACCAAACCGACGAUGGAUAGGGGUUCUGAGAGGAAGGUCCCCCACAUUGGUACUGAGACACGGACCAAACUCCUACGGGAGGCAGCAGUGAGGAAUAUUGGUCAAUGGGCGUAAGCCUGAACCAGCCAAGUCGCGUGAGGGAUGAAGGUUCUAUGGAUCGUAAACCUCUUUUAUAAGGGAAUAAAGUGCGGGACGUGUCCCGUUUUGUAUGUACCUUAUGAAUAAGGAUCGGCUAACUCCGUGCCAGCAGCCGCGGUAAUACGGAGGAUCCGAGCGUUAUCCGGAUUUAUUGGGUUUAAAGGGUGCGUAGGCGGCCUUUUAAGUCAGCGGUGAAAGUCUGUGGCUCAACCAUAGAAUUGCCGUUGAAACUGGGAGGCUUGAGUAUGUUUGAGGCAGGCGGAAUGCGUGGUGUAGCGGUGAAAUGCUUAGAUAUCACGCAGAACCCCGAUUGCGAAGGCAGCCUGCCAAGCCAUGACUGACGCUGAUGCACGAAAGCGUGGGGAUCAAACAGGAUUAGAUACCCUGGUAGUCCACGCAGUAAACGAUGAUCACUAGCUGUUUGCGAUACAGUGUAAGCGGCACAGCGAAAGCGUUAAGUGAUCCACCUGGGGAGUACGCCGGCAACGGUGAAACUCAAAGGAAUUGACGGGGGCCCGCACAAGCGGAGGAACAUGUGGUUUAAUUCGAUGAUACGCGAGGAACCUUACCCGGGUUUGAACGCAUUCGGACCGAGGUGGAAACACCUUUUCUAGCAAUAGCCGUUUGCGAGGUGCUGCAUGGUUGUCGUCAGCUCGUGCCGUGAGGUGUCGGCUUAAGUGCCAUAACGAGCGCAACCCUUGCCACUAGUUACUAACAGGUAAAGCUGAGGACUCUGGUGGGACUGCCAGCGUAAGCUGCGAGGAAGGCGGGGAUGACGUCAAAUCAGCACGGCCCUUACAUCCGGGGCGACACACGUGUUACAAUGGCGUGGACAAAGGGAUGC
RNAcentral lists this ribosomal RNA (1259 nucleotides) under Paraclostridium sordellii. RNAcentral describes it as "bacterial SSU rRNA". It matches the Rfam family "Bacterial small subunit ribosomal RNA", at positions 1 to 1250 of the family's 1533-position model. The record is from RNAcentral. Lineage: Bacteria; Bacillati; Bacillota; Clostridia; Peptostreptococcales; Peptostreptococcaceae.